RNAcentral lists this ribosomal RNA (434 nucleotides) under uncultured Escherichia sp. Its description in RNAcentral is "bacterial SSU rRNA". It matches the Rfam family "Bacterial small subunit ribosomal RNA", at positions 958 to 1392 of the family's 1533-position model. Lineage: Bacteria; Pseudomonadati; Pseudomonadota; Gammaproteobacteria; Enterobacterales; Enterobacteriaceae. The record is from RNAcentral.
AACGCGAAGAACCUUACCUGGUCUUGACAUCCACGGAAGUUUUUAGAGAUGAGAAUGUGCCUUCGGGAACCGUGAGACAGGUGCUGCAUGGCUGUCGUCAGCUCGUGUUGUGAAAUGUUGGGUUAAGUCCCGCAACGAGCGCAACCCUUAUCCUUUGUUGCCAGCGGUCCGGCCGGGAACUCAAAGGAGACUGCCAGUGAUAAACUGGAGGAAGGUGGGGAUGACGUCAAGUCAUCAUGGCCCUUACGACCAGGGCUACACACGUGCUACAAUGGCGCAUACAAAGAGAAGCGACCUCGCGAGAGCAAGCGGACCUCAUAAAGUGCGUCGUAGUCCGGAUUGGAGUCUGCAACUCGACUCCAUGAAGUCGGAAUCGCUAGUAAUCGUGGAUCAGAAUGCCACGGUGAAUACGUUCCCGGGUCUUGUACACACCG